CACGCCGUAAACGAUGGAUACUAGGUGUAGGGGGUAUCGACCCCCCCUGUGCCGGAGUUAACGCAAUAAGUAUCCCGCCUGGGGAGUACGGUCGCAAGACUGAAACUCAAAGGAAUUGACGGGGGCCCGCACAAGCAGCGGAGCAUGUGGUUUAAUUCGAAGCAACGCGAAGAACCUUACCAGGGCUUGACAUCCCGAUGACCGGUACAGAGAUGUACCUUCCCUUCGGGGCAUUGGAGACAGGUGG
RNAcentral lists this ribosomal RNA (247 nucleotides) under uncultured Veillonellaceae bacterium. RNAcentral's name for it is "partial 16S ribosomal RNA". It matches the Rfam family "Bacterial small subunit ribosomal RNA", at positions 796 to 1041 of the family's 1533-position model. The record is from RNAcentral. Lineage: Bacteria; Bacillati; Bacillota; Negativicutes; Veillonellales; Veillonellaceae.